UCUUCCUUGGUCUAGUGGUCAGGAUACCUGCUUGUCAAGCACAAUUCGCAGGUGGCCGGGGUUCGAUUCCCCGAGGGAGAG
RNAcentral lists this transfer RNA (81 nucleotides) under Scedosporium apiospermum. It matches the Rfam family "tRNA". Rfam says of the family: Transfer RNA (tRNA) molecules are approximately 80 nucleotides in length. Lineage: Eukaryota; Fungi; Ascomycota; Sordariomycetes; Microascales; Microascaceae. The record is from Rfam by way of RNAcentral.